Molecule: ribosomal RNA, 460 nt
Filed under: uncultured bacterium
Lineage: Bacteria
Description: partial 16S ribosomal RNA
Rfam family: Bacterial small subunit ribosomal RNA
Source: RNAcentral
CCUACGGGUGGCAGCAGUGAGGAAUAUUGGUCAAUGGACGAGAGUCUGAACCAGCCAAGUAGCGUGAAGGAUGACUGCCCUAUGGGUUGUAAACUUCUUUUAUAUGGGAAUAAAACGUUCCACGUGUGGGAUUUUGUAUGUACCAUAUGAAUAAGGAUCGGCUAACUCCGUGCCAGCAGCCGCGGUAAUACGGAGGAUCCGAGCGUGAUCCGGAUUUAUUGGGUUUAAAGGGAGCGUAGGUGGAUUGUUAAGUCAGUUGUGAAAGUUUGCGGCUCAACCGUAAAAUUGCAGUUGAAACUGGCAGUCUUGAGUACAGUAGAGGUGAGCGGAAUUCGUGGUGUAGCGGUGAAAUGCUUAGAUAUCACGAAGAACUCCGAUUGCGAAGGCAGUUCACUGGACUGCAACUGACACUGAGGCUCGAAAGUGUGGGUAUCAAACAGGAUUAGAUACCCGAGUAGUC